Molecule: transfer RNA, 87 nt
Organism: Exidia glandulosa HHB12029
Lineage: Eukaryota; Fungi; Basidiomycota; Agaricomycetes; Auriculariales; Exidiaceae
Rfam family: tRNA
About the family: Transfer RNA (tRNA) molecules are approximately 80 nucleotides in length. Their secondary structure includes four short double-helical elements and three loops (D, anti-codon, and T loops).
Source: Rfam
GGCCGCCUGGCGAAAUGGCAUCGCGUCUGACUACGAUCUCAGAGAUCCGCUAUCAGGAGAUUGCAGGUUCGACCCCUGCGGUGGUCA